RNAcentral lists this ribosomal RNA (428 nucleotides) under uncultured bacterium. Its description in RNAcentral is "bacterial SSU rRNA". It matches the Rfam family "Bacterial small subunit ribosomal RNA", at positions 8 to 429 of the family's 1533-position model. The record is from RNAcentral.
AGAGUUUGAUCCUGGCUCAGGACGAACGCUGGCGGCGUGCUUAACACAUGCAAGUGGAGCGACGAACCAGGCUUCGGCCUGGGGCAGAGCCGCGAACGGGUGAGUAACACGUGGGUAACCUACCCCGAUGAUUGGGACAACCCGAGGAAACUCGGGCUAAUACCAAAUGUGCCCUACGACCACAAGGUCGCUGGGGAAAGGAAGCUUCGGCCUCCGCAUUGGGAUGGGCCCGCGGCCCAUUAGCUUGUUGGUGAGGUAACGGCUCACCAAGGCUGCGAUGGGUAGCUGGUCUGAGAGGACGAUCAGCCACACUGGGACUGAGACACGGCCCAGACUCCUACGGGAGGCAGCGGUGGGGAAUCUUGCGCAAUGCGCGAAAGCGUGACGCAGCAACGCCGCGUGGGGGAAGAAGGCCUUCGGGUUGUAAA